AUGUGUUGCCCAGUCCCCAGUCCAGCCGUGUGUUGCCCAGUCCCCAGUCCAGCCGUGUGUUGCCCAGUCCCCAGUUCAGCCGUGUGUUGCCCAGUCCCCAGUUCAGCCGUGUGUUGCCCAGUCCCCAGUUCAGCCGUGUGUUGCCCAGUCCCCAGUUCAGCCGUGUGUUGCCCAGUCCCCAGUCCAGCCGUGUGUUGCCCAGUCCCCAGUCCAGCCGUGUGUUGCCCGGUUCAGCCUCCAGUCCAGCCGUGUGUUGCCCGGUUCAGCCUCCAGUCCAGCCGUGUGUUGCCCGGUUCAGCCUCCAGUCCAGCCGUGUGUUGCCCGGUUCAGCCUCCAGUCCAGCCGUGUGUUGCCCGGUUCAGCCUCCAGUCCAGCCGUGUGUUGCCCGGUUCAGCCUCCAGUCCAGCCGUGUGUUGCCCGGUUCAGCCUCCAGUCCAGCCGUGUGUUGCCCGGUUCAGCCUCCAGUCCAGCCGUGUGUUGCCCGGUUCAGCCUCCAGUCCAGCCGUGUGUUGCCCGGUUCAGCCUCCAGUCCAGCCGUGUGUUGCCCGGUUCAGCCUCCAGUCCAGCCGUGUGUUGCCCGGUUCAGCCUCCAGUCCAGCCGUGUGUUGCCCGGUUCAGCCUCCAGUCCAGCCGUGUGUUGCCCGGUUCAGCCUCCAGUCCAGCCGUGUGUUGCCCGGUUCAGCCUCCAGUCCAGCCGUGUGUUGCCCGGUUCAGCCUCCAGUCCAGCCGUGUGUUGCCCGGUUCAGUCGAGUCACGCCCCAGUCCUUGUCCCAGUCAGAGGGCACCGUCUGUCUGACAACUGUUAGUUCCACCCAAUCAGGCCCGACGUCUCCCCCGUCGAGCUCGGCAGCUGUAAGCUGUCAUGCCAGCUCCGGAGGGGACGCCGUUCCAGUUCCUGUCGAUCCAUUAGGGGUCGUUCCAGUCCCUGUCGGCCAAGUAGAUGCCGUUCUUGUCCCUGUCGGCCAAGUAGAUGCCGUUCUUGUCCCUGUCGGCCAAGUAGAUGCCGUUCUUGUCCCUGUCGGCCAAGUAGAUGCCGUCCCAGUUCCUGUCGGCCAUGUUGAGGUCGUCCCAGUUCCUGUCCCAGUUCCUGUCGGCCAAGUUGAGGGCGUUCCCGUCGGCCAUGUUGAGGCCACUCCCGUUCCUGUCGGCCCUGUGGCGGUCGUUCCAGUCCUCGUUCCUGUCGGCCCGAGAGAGGUCGUUCCAGUCCCUGUCACCCUCGGAGCCGCAGCGCCCGCCGGCCUCCAGGAGGAGGCGGAGCCGCAGCGCCCGCCGGCCUCCAGGAGGAGGCGGAGCCGCAGCGCCCGCCGGCCUCCAGGAGGAGGCGGAGCCGCAGCGCCCGCCGGCCUCCAGGAGGAGGCGGCGCCUGCUGCAGUCCCCGCGCACCUCCAGGAGGAGGUCGCGCCAGCUGCAGUCCCCGCGCACCUCCCGGAGGAGGUCGCGCCAGCUGCAGUCCCCGCGCACCUCCCGGAGGGGGUCGCGCCAGCUGCAGUCCCCGCGCACCUCCCGGAGGGGGUCGCGCCAGCUGCAGUCCCCGCGCACCUCCCGGAGGGGGUCGCGCCAGCUGCAGUCCCCGCGCACCUCCCGGAGGGGGUCGCGCCAGCUGCAGUCCCCGCGCACCUCCCGGAGGGGGUCGCGCCAGCUGCAGUCCCGGCGGACCUCCAGGAGGGGGUCGCGCCAGUCAUAGUUCCUGCCGACCCGGCUCCGGCCGCUCCUGCAUCGGUUCCUGGCGGCCCGGCUCCGGCCGCUCCUGCGCCUGUGUCUCGUCGCGGUGGUCCAAGGAGGACGCCGCUGGUUCCUGCCUCUCGUCGCGGUGGUCCAAGGAGGACGCCGCUGGUUCCUGCCUCUCGUCGCGGUGGUCCAAGGAGGACGCCGCUGGUUCCUGCCUCUCGUCGCGGUGGUCCGAGGAGGACGCCGCUGGUUCCUGCCUCUCGUCGCGGUGGUCCGAGGAGGACGCCGCUGGUUCCUGCCUCUCGUCGCGGUGGCCCGAGGAGGACGCCGCUGGUUCCUGCCUCUCGUCGCGGUGGUCCGAGGAGGACGCCGCUGGUUCCUGCCUCUCGUCGCGGUGGUCCAAAGAGGACGCCGCUGGUUCCUGCCUCUCGUCGCGGUGGUCCAAAGAGGACGCCGCUGGUUCCUGCCUCUCGUCGCGGUGGUCCAAAGAGGACGCCGCUGGUUCCUGCCUCUCGUCGCGGUGGUCCAAAGAGGACGCCGCUGGUUCCUGCCUCGUCCUUGGCUCGGCUGCCGGACUGGUGGCCUCGCCCUCGGCGCCUCCUGCUGCCUGGAUGGCGCUGCCUCCUGCGGCGACGCCCGCCUCGACUCCUCAGCCCAUCGGAUCAGCGUCCGCCUGGAGGACGUUGCCAUUCGGGGUGGCCCCCGGGGACAUCGGCCCAGUUCAAGGGCACUAAGAGUGCCACCCUGGCUCAGCGGCUGCUGAGCAGGAUCUCGCCACGCCGUCACCCUCCGUGA
This 2463-nucleotide long non-coding RNA is filed under the name Betta splendens (Siamese fighting fish). Its description in RNAcentral is "lncRNA (ENSBSLG00000020814.1)". The record is from RNAcentral. Lineage: Eukaryota; Metazoa; Chordata; Actinopteri; Anabantiformes; Osphronemidae.